RNAcentral lists this ribosomal RNA (449 nucleotides) under uncultured Salinicoccus sp. RNAcentral describes it as "bacterial SSU rRNA". It matches the Rfam family "Bacterial small subunit ribosomal RNA", at positions 354 to 796 of the family's 1533-position model. The record is from RNAcentral. Lineage: Bacteria; Bacillati; Bacillota; Bacilli; Caryophanales; Staphylococcaceae.
GUAGGGAAUCUUCCGCAAUGGACGCAAGUCUGACGGAGCAACGCCGCGUGAGUGAAGAAGGGUUUCGGCUCGUAAAACUCUGUUGUUAAGGAAGAAUGUCAUGUAUUUAACUGAUAUGUGAGUGACGGUACUUAACCAGAAAGCCACGGCUAACUACGUGCCAGCAGCCGCGGUAAUACGUAGGUGGCAAGCGUUAUCCGGAAUUAUUGGGCGUAAAGCGCGCGUAGGCGGUUUCUUAAGUCUGAUGUGAAAGCCCCCGGCUCAACCGGGGAGGGUCAUUGGAAACUGGGGAACUUGAGUGCAGAAGAGGAGAGUGGAAUUCCAUGUGUAGCGGUGAAAUGCGCAGAGAUAUGGAGGAACACCAGUGGCGAAGGCGGCUCUCUGGUCUGUAACUGACGCUGAUGUGCGAAAGCGUGGGGAUCAAACAGGAUUAGAAACCCUAGUAGUCC